UUCGGGUAUAUUUGGUGAAAAUCAGGAUUUUUACUAGUUUUUACUAUCCCGAUAUUGGUUCGGUUGAGGGAUAAAAUCGGGAUGAUACCGCGAAAAUCGAGAUAGUUGGCAGGUCUGUAUUCAUAUGCCAUAAAAAUAAAAUUAGAAGAGUUUAAAAAAUAAAACUAAAACAUAACACCAAAGCAUACAUAGUGCAUGUACUAUAUUAAGCAAUGCUUUUUUUUUCAUUCUUUCAGAUUAUCAUUAAAUGAUUUAUACAUCAACAGACAUUGUAUAUCUCAAAUGACUAGAACUUGUAUACUUUUAACAAAAAAACAAAGUACUAAUAUCUAACUAGUGACAAUGACUUCUGAUUCACACAUAAAACAGUAUAAAUAUACAACUAAAUAAAUAAAUCAUUAUUGAGUCUUAGGUCCUUCAAAAUACUUUCUGAGGGGGUGGGCAGAUUGACUAUGAUUGGGAAAAACAACAGAAAAAAUCUAUAUUCAACACCAUCAUUUCAGUAAGCUUUAUAUAGAAUAAAUAAGUUUACGGUAUAAAAGUAUAGAACCAAUAACUGAGGCCUAGUUGGAAAACACAUACCGGUACAAGAAAUUUGUAUAUAUUUUAAACAAAAUAAUUCUUACUCAUAGUUAAAAGGUGAAAUAGCUAGGUAGUUUUGGUAUCAAAUGAAAGCUUGGGGACUUGGGAUCACUGUAGAACUCUUGAUGAAAGAUUCUUUUGAAUAAUAAAAAAGAAAAAAUAAUUAUAAUAGGAGGGCAAAUUUGCCCUGUUGUUUAGAUCAGAAGUACCUGUUUUUGUAGUAUCUAACUUUUGGGAACCAGUAUGCUCUAAUAUGCAAUCAAAGGUAUGUUGAAUUUUUCAGCACAAGUCAGGAUAAGGUAUAGUUUUGACAUGAAAUGACUGCCACUUUAUUUGAACAAAGUAGUCAUUAAUGCUUGAAAUUGCAGAAUUUAGCCCUUACCAUGCUGGCUCCAAUGGCAUUCCAUACUUUUAGAAGUCUGUGAUACUUAUUUCAAAAGUUAUGCAUGUUCCCUCAACCUGAGGCUAUCUAUUGUCAUGUUUCUCAUGUAUAAAUUGCACUUUCAGCUCAAAUAUGUACUUGGAAAAUUGAAAUCGGAUGAAACUCUGGUUUCUGGAGGGGUGGGCUUCCCUUCUGUGUCUUACACAAGAAGUUCAGAGGCCUAAAACUUGCAAAAAUAGUGCAAACCUGCAGGCAUAUAACUACUGAUCAUAAUUAUUAUUGAAAUACACAUAGGAAUUGACAACUUCCGGUUUCAGGUACAGUUGAAGUAAAAAAUGGAUUUUUUUUUUUUAAUUCCGUAUUUUUGGUGCAAAUGAUCUUCUUUAGACUGCUGAACUAAGAUCUGUUUCACUCCCACCUAACAACUGUUCGAGUCAAUUUGUUAACUGGGGUCCAUUCUAUAUGCAGACUACAGCUGAAUACCUAUACCACAUCCCUGGGUAUUGGAGGGCCAAGAAAUAGGAAGAAAAAUCUUAUUGCACCUGAUGACCAACUUUGGAGCAAAUUUCUGCCUACCAUUACCCCCUACCCCCCACCCUGUGAUCCCCUACCUUAGAAUUAAAGGAAUCAAAAUACUUCAGCAGCAGGGUAAAGCUCAUUUGCAUAUAAUUUGCAUAUCUUUGCAAAUAAAUGAAAAUUAUACAUUUUCUGAAAACAAUUCAGCAUGGUAAGUUUUUACAUAGAAAGCAAUGGGGCUAAUGGAUAAGUGGUUUAAAACUUAAGAAAGUGAAAUAGCAUGAAUGUUGGUAAUGGUUCCUUUAGAUUUGAAGAAACUAUAUGCAAUAUCUAAACAACAAAAAAUAACUUUCUAGAAUAAUGACCCUGUUUUUUUAAAUAUAAAAUGGGAGUAUUGAUAUUGACAUUGGAUUUGAUUUCAUUAUUUAUACCCUUUUUAAAUUCUAAGCACAAAACUUAAUACAUUUGUAAUUAUCAUCAGUUAUCAAAAC
RNAcentral lists this long non-coding RNA (1971 nucleotides) under Mytilus galloprovincialis (Mediterranean mussel). The record is from RNAcentral. Lineage: Eukaryota; Metazoa; Mollusca; Bivalvia; Mytilida; Mytilidae.